RNAcentral lists this ribosomal RNA (476 nucleotides) under uncultured bacterium. Its description in RNAcentral is "bacterial SSU rRNA". It matches the Rfam family "Bacterial small subunit ribosomal RNA", at positions 22 to 518 of the family's 1533-position model. The record is from RNAcentral.
GGUCAGGACGAACGCUGGCGGCACGCUUAACACAUGCAAGUCGAACGGAGUUUGGAGCUGCUCCAAAACUUAGUGGCGGACGGGUGAGUAACACGUGAGCAACCUACCUCUGAGAGCGGAAUAGCUUCUGGAAACGGAUGGUAAUACCGCAUGACAUUGCGAAACCGCAUGAUUUUGCAAUCAAAGAAAUUCGCUCAGAGAUGGGCUCGCGCCUGAUUAGCUAGAUGGUGAGGUAACGGCCCACCAUGGCGACGAUCAGUAGCCGGACUGAGAGGUUGAACGGCCACAUUGGGACUGAGACACGGCCCAGACUCCUACGGGAGGCAGCAGUGGGGAAUAUUGCACAAUGGGCGAAAGCCUGAUGCAGCGAUGCCGCGUGGAGGAAGAAGGUUUUCGGAUUGUAAACUCCUUUUUUCAGGGACGAUAAUGACGGUACCUGAAGAAGAAGCUCCGGCUAACUACGUGCCAGCAGCAGC